Molecule: ribosomal RNA, 429 nt
Filed under: Reticulitermes flavipes (eastern subterranean termite)
Lineage: Eukaryota; Metazoa; Arthropoda; Insecta; Blattodea; Rhinotermitidae
Description: partial 16S ribosomal RNA
Source: RNAcentral
UUACGCUGUUAUCCCUAAGGUAAUUUAAUCUUACAAUCAAAAUAAAUGGAUCAAGCAAAUAUAAAUAAAUAUAACAACACAAAGGAGGGGUUAAAUAAUAUCCCUCCCAUCACCCCAACAAAACAUAUUAAACAGCCCUAGUGAACCCUCACAAACAGAAAGAGACCGUGAAUAAAUGUCAAACUCUAUAGGGUCUUCUCGUCCCAUAAAAACAUCUAAGAAUUUUAACUCAAAGACCAAAUUCAAUAAACAAUUCAAAAUUAAGACAGCUUAUGCCUCGUCAAGCCAUUCAUACCAGAUCACAAUUAAAGAACUAAUGACUAUGCUACCUUUGCACGGUCAAAAUACCGCGGCCCUUCAACAUUCAAGGUCAGUGGGCAGGCCAUACUUCAAAAACUAACGAGAAGAGAUGUUUUUGAUAAACAGGCG